UGCAGUCGAGGGGCAGCAUGACAUAGCAUAUGUUGAUGGCGACCGGCAGACGGGUGAGUAAUGCAUAAGAAUCUGCCUUUUGGAGUGGGAUAGCUCGGAGAAAUUCGGAUUAAUACCGCAUGAAGUCUAAGGAUGAAAGGGGGCUGUUAAAGGCUCUCGCCAAGAGAUGAGCUUAUGUGAGAUUAGCUAGUUGGUGGGGUAAAGGCUCACCAAGGCAAUGAUCUCUAGCCGAUUUUAGAGAAUGAUCGGCCACACUGGGACUGAGAUACGGCCCAGACUCCUACGGGAGGCAGCAGUGGGGAAUAUUGGACAAUGGGGGCAACCCUGAUCCAGCCAUGCCGCGUGUGUGAAGAAGGCCUUCGGGUUGUAAAGCACUUUUGACAGGGAAGAAGAGAUGGUGGUUAAUACCCAUUAUUUUUGACAUUAUCUGUAGAAAAAGCACCGGCUAACUCCGUGCCAGCAGCCGCGGUAAUACGGAGGGUGCGAGCGUUAAUCGGAAUUACUGGGCGUAAAGGGCGUGUAGGCGGAUGAGUAAGUUGGGUGUGAAAUCCCCGGGCUUAACCUGGGAACUGCAUUCAAAACUGCUAAUCUAGAGUGUAGUAGAGGACGAUGGAAUUUUCUGUGUAGCAGUAAAAUGCUUAGAUAUUGAAAGGAACAUCAGAGGCGAAGGCGAUCGUCUGGACUACAACUGACGCUGAGGCGCGAAAGCGUGGGGAGCAAACAGGAUUAGAUACCCUGGUAGUCCACGCUGUAAAUGGUGGAGACUGGCUGUUGGGCGCAAGCUCAGUGGCGAAGCUAACGCGUUAAGUCUCCCGCCUGGGGAGUACGGCCGNAAGGUUAAAACUCAAAUGAAUUGACGGGGGCCCGCACAAGCGGUGGAGUAUGUGGUUUAAUUCGAUGCAACCCGAAAAACCUUACCCACUUUUGACAUAUAAGGAGCCUGGCAGAGAUGUCGGGGUGCCGCAAGGAACCUUAAUACAGGUGCUGCAUGGCUGUCGUCAGCUCGUGUUGUGAAAUGUUGGGUUAAGUCCCGUAACGAGCGCAACCCCUGUCCUUUGUUGCUAACAGGUUAAGCUGAGAACUCUAAGGAGACUGCUGGUGAUAAACCAGAGGAAGGUGGGGAUGACGUCAAGUCCUCAUGGCCCUUACAAGUGGGGCUACACACGUACUACAAUGGUUGGUAUAGAGGGAAGCGAAGCCGCGAGGUGAAGCCAAUCUCACAAAGCCAAUCUUAGUCCGGAUUGUACUCUGAAACUCGAGUGCAUGAAGUCGGAAUCGCUAGUAAUCGCAGAUCAGCAAGCUGCGGUGAAUACGUUCUCGGGCCUUGUACACACCGCCCGUCAAACCAUGGGAGUGACUUUUUCCUGAACUGAAUAGCCUAACCGCAAGGAGGGCGU
RNAcentral lists this ribosomal RNA (1397 nucleotides) under uncultured bacterium. RNAcentral's name for it is "partial 16S ribosomal RNA". It matches the Rfam family "Bacterial small subunit ribosomal RNA". The record is from RNAcentral.